CUUCAUCACAGCGCCGCACCACGGCUGCGAGAUGACGCCGCGCCACGCCUACAUGAACCACAGCCUGGACCUCGACCCCGUGCCGCUGCAAGAGAUAUGCAUCGGCGGAGCGCGGGGAGGGGAGCGGGGCGAGGCGCGGG
Papilio polytes (common Mormon) is the source of this 140-nucleotide long non-coding RNA. RefSeq lists it as uncharacterized. The transcript is spliced from 3 exons. NCBI's taxonomy places the organism in Eukaryota, Metazoa, Arthropoda, Insecta, Lepidoptera, Papilionidae. The record is from RefSeq and is a predicted model, not a curated record.